CGUCACACCAUGAGAGUUGGAGAUACCCGAAGCCUGUGAGCUAACUUUUUAAGAGGCAGCAGUCGAAGGUAGAAUCAAUGAUUGGGGUGAAGUCGUAACAAGGUAGC
RNAcentral lists this ribosomal RNA (107 nucleotides) under uncultured bacterium. RNAcentral's name for it is "partial 16S ribosomal RNA". It matches the Rfam family "Bacterial small subunit ribosomal RNA", at positions 1395 to 1500 of the family's 1533-position model. The record is from RNAcentral.